This is a long non-coding RNA of Nilaparvata lugens (brown planthopper), 1255 nucleotides long. RefSeq lists it as uncharacterized. The record is from RefSeq and is a predicted model, not a curated record. Lineage: Eukaryota; Metazoa; Arthropoda; Insecta; Hemiptera; Delphacidae. The transcript has 3 exons.
UAACAAUUUUGGACAUGAUUAUUUUUAUCUUGUUUUUCUGUUAUUUCGGUUCUAAAUUCGAUUGUAUUAUCAGCUUGUUUUUCUCAGUGAGACAAAGAUGCACUUAUGGGAUCGAGCUGUACCCUUCGAAUAAUCUACUUUCUUGUUCUCUCCAGUUCUUUUUUGCUAUUUUCUUUCUCCCUUUUUCUGUCCUUGUUGGUAGCUUUGAGUUUGCAUUGCUCUUUCUCUCUAGUUUCUUUGUCUAAUUUUGAUAAUUCCGUUUUGCUUACGUCACUGUCUUGUUUGCUACCCCGUCUUCAACGCUCGAUGAUCCAUUCUGUCUCUGAAUUUCGUGAGUGGAGGUUGUAAAUUUAACUUUUUCCUUUGAUUCCAUUUUUAUUUAGCUUAUGCUAAAUUUUUCUAUUUAUUACAAUAUGUAGUUGAUCAGAGACAGAUUUCAUUCAUCACAAGUUGUGAUAUUAUUAUUAUUUUCUUUAUUUUUUUUUAUUUCCUUUUUAAAUAUGUAAAUUUUCUUGUUUGUUAUAAAAAAAAAAAAAAAAAGUAAUCAUGUCCGAAAAUUUAAUUGAGUUAAAAAUUUAAUUCUAGCUGGCCUAAGUUAUGGCAAUUUAUUUAUAUUUGUUGAAAACCUCAUUCAUCACAUAUGUAUCCAUAGUAAUUUCUACAAUUUCCGCUGUACAGCGGUCAUAGACUCGUAGACUCGUAGACUCGUAGUAUCACAGGAUGUCUUAGUUAUGGCCAUGGAAGCUGAAUCCUUGCUGACCAACUCAUCACAAGGAAACCAAUAUUUCCAGAAAAGAUCUAAAUUCGCCGUAAAAAGGAUACUUCAAGAACUUCUUGUGCAGUGAAAAAUUAAUAAGUGAAAAAUUGAAUAAAGUGUACGGAGGCCUCCUCACUUCAAUACACCAGGUAUUUACGAAACAACCAAUAUUAAUUUAUGGAAAAUUCACAGGCAACUACUUCGUAAAAAUAAAUGGGACAGGAUAAUAAAUAAAUUGUAAUUACUUGAUUUAAAUUUUGUUUAUUUUUUGGAAAUUCUAUUUAUUUGAUCUAUUAUGUAUAUUAAAUUGCAAACAUGAUUACAAUCUUAUUGUUGAUUAUUGAAUAUGCCUAACAAUCAUCAAUGACAAGUAAUGAAUGGGGUAAAUCUUGAAUUGUUGAGCUGUCAUAUCAUUCAAUUAUAAAUGUUGCUACUUAGAAGGGGUUGGAAAUUAAAUAAAUGGAAUAUUUUAGUUAAUAUAUUGAACUAUAUAUUCAG